Molecule: long non-coding RNA, 1337 nt
Organism: Sphaeramia orbicularis (orbiculate cardinalfish)
Lineage: Eukaryota; Metazoa; Chordata; Actinopteri; Kurtiformes; Apogonidae
Exons: 2
Source: RefSeq, a predicted model, not a curated record
AUGUGCAAUGUGAACGAGCACACACACACAAAAAAAAAAAAAAAAUCGGAUUUCACCCAAAAAAUCUGAAUUGUGCAUGAAGACCUGCUGUCUGAACGUAACCUCAGUGAUAGCAUCACAGAUUACUAUAACUUUUACAUAAAACAUCGAAAAACUAUAUUCAUCUUAUUGUGAAUCUUUUUGUUUUUACUUACAAAAUCACAACAAGAAACUACAGGUCAAGAGAAAUUAAAAAAAAAAACAAUAAGCAAACACCAAACAAACAAAAAAAGCCAAUAGCCACAAGGGAAAAACGAAUAACGAAAACAAAAACCUGAUAGAUGACAAUAGACAAGAACCAAGACAAUGACAAAAACACUGACAAAAUAUACAAAUACAUGUAUAUAGACACACACACCCACAUAUGUUACAAAACAAUAGAUAGAAAACACAGACUAGACAGAAAAAAAACAAAAAAAUAAAUGUACAAUAGACAAAAAACAGAUUAAAAACGACGAAAGACAAAACCAAUGUGAACUGGUUUUACACCACAUCGUCAGCAAACAUUAAUGCCAAAUUUGGGCGUUCAGUUUUGUGCAUCUGUGUCUUCAUGUUCACCAGAGAUAUGUAGGACGUCUUUCCAUAGUCUGCCUUGUUGGAUAUUUUGACCAACUGGACAAUCGACCAAAUCCCUUUCGUUAUUCAAGACUCUCGGAUGCGACCACUGACCUCGGACUUUUUGUCGGAGCACUGUAUAAAGGCCAAAGUACCCCCCAAGCAUCAAAGGCAGGGACUGGUGGGAAAUAAGACUCCCAGAGGACACUGUUUGUUAAAUAUUUAACAUACCACUGACUGCAUGAUGACUUGGAAGGAGGAGCGUUAAAAAAAACCAAAUCUGGACUUGGAUUCUGGAGAUUCGACGGUGGGAAACCCAAAGACAGCGACGCUAGGAGUAGUGUAUAUAUUUCAUGUGUCUCCCUGAGGUUUUAACACAGUCUAACUUAUGAGAAAUGUUUUAAUAAAAUCCACAUAAAGGGAUUCUCAAUGGACCCACAUGAACCGGUGUACAGUUAUCCUCCGUCUGUGCUGUCUACUGUAUCCUCAUUACUCCAACCACUGUUGCUUUGAAGCGAAUGCCUCUGGGAAAAUGUCAGAGUGAUUUAACGUAUGCACUUCGUCGGUUGUUUGAACCACGCCGUCAUCUCCGGUCGUACGGCAAAACUGAACCAAGUACUGCUUGGUUUUUUUUUGUUUUUUUUGUAUUUUCCUUUAAAAGAUGUUUUUUCUGUGUUGUCACCUGCACUGAAUCUCCUCAGAGAAAAGUAUCCUGAUUAAAAUCUCAAGUCUUUCAAAUGAAA